UGCCUUUUAGAUCUUUAUGUUCUUUGAGGAUCUUGUAUCUUUCUUCCUCUUUCAAGGGCUUUUUUUUUUCUUACCCUUUGAAUUUCGCUUCCAAAGUAGAUAGAGUAGGCUUAUAACUCUUUAAGUCAAAGAGAUAGAUAUAUCAGGGUUUUAGCCCUCUCAAAGAAAGGGGAAACCCUAAUUUCAAGAAGAAUUGAGAAAGAUUUGCCUAGAAGCUGAGAAUUUAAAGAAACCAAAACAAACAAAUAAAAAGGGGGAAAAAUAGAGAAAAAAUUUAGUGGAGAAGAAGGAGAAAGAGCAAAAG
This 304-nucleotide long non-coding RNA is filed under the name Capsella rubella. Its description in RNAcentral is "long non-coding RNA (CRUB_LNC001145)". The record is from RNAcentral. Lineage: Eukaryota; Viridiplantae; Streptophyta; Magnoliopsida; Brassicales; Brassicaceae.